UAAACGGUUCUACCCUUCUAUCAUUAUGUAAAGAUAAAGAAUAAUAUAUUGUUUCCUUUGUUGGUGAUGGCGACGAUGGUGAGCUCCGAUAACGGCGACGAUGGUGAGCUCUGACAACAGCGACGAUGGUGAGCACCGAUAAUGGCGACGAUGGUGAGCUCCGACAACGGCGACGAUGGUAACCUCCGACAAUGUCGAUGAGCUCCGUUAAUAGUAACGACGAUGUGGGCAGCGGUGAAUCGUGAGAGUGAUGGCUCAUCUUCUCCCUCCUCUUAUCACUCACUGAUUUCUCCGAUCUUUGUUUUUAUCCAAUGAUCUCACAACUCUAAAAAAAUAGAGGUGAAUCGUUAUGUAGUGCUAAAUAAUGCAAUUUAAAAAUAAAUAUUUCCAGAUUACAUCUCAAAACAUUUAUCACUGUGAGUUUGAUUUUUGUGCUUGGGUUCCCAUUCAAAAAUCUUUAGGGUUUUAGUUUUUGAUUGAGUUUCCCUUCCAAUAAACAAAAUAUCGCUAAUGGUGUAGAGUGAGGACACAAUGAAAAGAAUAGCUCCGUUUCGAAUACUUAAAUUGCAUAUCUGCUUGAAAUCUGAAAUUCUUCUUCUUUACUAGUCAUCUUCUUCUUUUUCAUUUGCAAG
Long non-coding RNA from Arabidopsis thaliana (thale cress), 632 nucleotides. RefSeq annotates it as other RNA. The record is from RefSeq. The transcript has a single exon. Lineage: Eukaryota; Viridiplantae; Streptophyta; Magnoliopsida; Brassicales; Brassicaceae.